UGCCAGCAGCCGCGGUAAUACGAAGGGUGCAAGCGUUAAUCGGAAUUACUGGGCGUAAAGGGAGCGUAGGCGGCCUUUUAAGUCGGAUGUGAAAUCCCCGGGCUCAACCUGGGAAUGGCAUCCGAUACUGGGGGGCUAGAGUUUGGGAGAGGGUGGUGGAAUUCCCGGUGUAGCGGUGAAAUGCGUAGAGAUCGGGAGGAACAUCAGUGGCGAAGGCGGCCACCUGGCCUAAAACUGACGCUGAAGCUCGAAAGCGUGGGGAGCAAACAGGAUUAGAUACCCUGGUAGUCCACGCCCUAAACGAUGAGAACUGGACGUUGGGAGGAAUUUGCCUCUUAGUGUCGAAGCUAACGCGUGAAGUUCUCCGCCUGGGGAGUACGCUCGCAAGAGUGAAACUUAAAGGAAUUGGCGGGGGAU
This 417-nucleotide ribosomal RNA is filed under the name uncultured bacterium. RNAcentral describes it as "bacterial SSU rRNA". It matches the Rfam family "Bacterial small subunit ribosomal RNA", at positions 506 to 921 of the family's 1533-position model. The record is from RNAcentral.